RNAcentral lists this long non-coding RNA (537 nucleotides) under Anser brachyrhynchus (Pink-footed goose). RNAcentral's name for it is "lncRNA (ENSABRG00000011489.1)". The record is from RNAcentral. Lineage: Eukaryota; Metazoa; Chordata; Aves; Anseriformes; Anatidae.
UCUGGGGGUCUGACUGGGCUCCCCUGUGUUGCCCAUUCCCCCCUGUAGGGCCUGGCCCAGCUCUGCUGCAGUGGGGUGUGGGGAGGGUGUAAAGCUUCCAGGCUGCAAGUUUUGGUGUCAUUGCAACAGGGAAGAUCUUGGAGAAGAGGAUGGGGCAGAGCCUGAGCAAAGGGCUGCUCAGCUCUCCCAUCCUGCCUGGCUCCAGUCAAGGUAAGGUGCCUUUUGCUGCCCUGCUAGCUGCUGUGUCUGCAACUAGUUAUUCCUGGCCUCACUAUGGGAGCCAUUAGCUAGGGAAUGGCUCAGGGGCCUCUGUAAGAACUAAUUCAAUUUACCCAGAGUGUGGCCAUACCUGUACCAGUUUCCCAUGAUGUAUUUGUUGGGUUAGGGGUAGACAUUAAGAAGAUAAUGCAAGCUUUAUUGAACAAUAUUGUUGGCUUGAAUGCAGCCGGGGGCCACACCUUCAGGUACUUCACUGGAGGUGUCUUCCUAAUUGCUCUCUAGAAAAAGGGUGAUUUUGUUCGUCAGCUCUGCCCUAUG